Molecule: ribosomal RNA, 430 nt
Filed under: uncultured eukaryote
Lineage: Eukaryota
Description: bacterial SSU rRNA
Rfam family: Eukaryotic small subunit ribosomal RNA
Source: RNAcentral
GAAUAGCGCGGCGGACGUCGCGGCCUCCGGGCCGUCUUCCGCACGAGCUUCUUAGAGGGACCGUCCCCCGCCGGGGAAGGAGGUGCGAGGCAACGACAGGUCUGUGAUGCCUUAGAUGUUCUGGGCCGCACGCGCAUUACACUGACGCGUCCAACGGGUGACUCCCGACCCGAAGGGGCCGGGGAAUCCGCAAGGCGCGUCGUGAUGGGGAUUGAACGUUGCAAUUGUUGUUCACGAACGAGGAAUUCCUAGUAGGCGCGGGUCAUCAACCCGCGCCGAUUACGUCCCUGCCCUUUUGUACACACCGCCCGUCGCUCCUACCGAUCGAACGGUCCGGUGAGGACCCAGGACGGCGCGGGACCCGAGGGGCCGAAAGGCUCCGCGACCCGUGUCGGAAUCCGUCCGAACCUUACCGUUUUAGAGGAAGGAG